CAGGAAGAUGACAGUAACUCAAAUAACCAUGUGUGGCAACAGUGCGGUGCAGAGGAGCAUCUCUGAACUCAAAGCUCAUCGAACCUUGAGGUGGAUGGAAUGCAACAGCAGAAGGUAAUGAAGAACAUACAGGAGAUACCCAAUAAAGGCACUUUACAGAUGAAGGUAGAACAGCAAAGGCUAGUACCCAAGAUGGAGCUGACUAGAUUUACAGCUUUCUGCAGCUUCUUUUGGUCCUGUGCAGUAACCCCUCCAUACCAGACAGUGAUGCAGCCUGUCAGAAUGCUCUCCACAGUACAACUAUAGAAGUAUUUGAGUGUAUUUGUUGACAUGCCA
Long non-coding RNA from Hypanus sabinus (Atlantic stingray), 336 nucleotides. RefSeq lists it as uncharacterized. The record is from RefSeq and is a predicted model, not a curated record. Lineage: Eukaryota; Metazoa; Chordata; Chondrichthyes; Myliobatiformes; Dasyatidae. The transcript has 3 exons.